RNAcentral lists this ribosomal RNA (544 nucleotides) under uncultured bacterium. Its description in RNAcentral is "bacterial SSU rRNA". It matches the Rfam family "Bacterial small subunit ribosomal RNA", at positions 247 to 807 of the family's 1533-position model. The record is from RNAcentral.
AGUUGGGUGGGGUACCGGCCCACCAAGGCGACGAUCCAUAGCCGGCCUGAGAGGGUGAACGGCCACAUUGGGACUGAGACACGGCCCAGACUCUUACGGGAGGCAGCAGUGGGGAAUAUUGCACAAUGGGGGAAACCCUGAUGCAGCGACGCCGCGUGAAGGAAGAAGUAUCUCGGUAUGUAAACUUCUAUCAGCAGGGAAGAUAGUGACGGUACCUGACUAAGAAGCCCCGGCUAACUACGUGCCAGCAGCCGCGGUAAUACGUAGGGGGCAAGCGUUAUCCGGAUUUACUGGGUGUAAAGGGAGCGUAGACGGUGUGGCAAGUCUGAUGUGAAAGGCAUGGGCUCAACCUGUGGACUGCAUUGGAAACUGUCAUACUUGAGUGCCGGAGGGGUAAGCGGAAUUCCUAGUGUAGCGGUGAAAUGCGUAGAUAUUAGGAGGAACACCAGUGGCGAAGGCGGCUUACUGGACGGUAACUGACGUUGAGGCUCGAAAGCGUGGGGAGCAAACAGGAUUAGAUACCCUGGUAGUCCACGCCGUAAAC